ACUGGACAUCACCACCCUGUCCAGACACCCAGAGCAGAGUGGGGGAUGGGGAAGGUGGCAGGUGGGGGACAAAUGGGUUGAUAUUUAUAGCAGACAAAUUAAUAAAGCUACAGAUAAUGCAUUUAGACAACAAUAAAAACACUUGAUAUCAAAACCUAGGAAACAUCUAAAGAAAUACUUAGUGGUCCAUUUAUAGCCCUAAAUACCUGUUACCAAAAGGAGAAGGUUUAAAAAUUAAUUACCUAAGCAUUCAACAAAGGAAGCUGAAAAAGAAUCACAGGGUAAAUCCAAAGAAAAUGGAAAAAAAAUAAAAGCAUAAAUUAAGGAAACAUGAAGCAAAGAAACAGUAGAGAUGCUUUUAUUUUUAAAUAGUUCUCAAAAAACAACCCUCUGGCAAACUGAUCAAGAAAAAACAGGAGUGAAGUCACAAAUAAAGACUGGCAGAUAGCAGUGAAGUUGUAAAAAUUCUAAAUGAAUGUAAGAAACUACUGUGAGUAUUGUACUGAUAAAUGUGAAACCAAAAAGCAAGAACAAUUUUCUAGAAAAAUAAUAUUGCCUACUGUAACUCAGUAAGAAAUUAAAUGCCUGAGUAGACUUAAAACAUUAAAUAAAUUGGAUUUGUAGUUCUUUUUAAAGCCAUGCACAGCCACUCACACUUACAUAAAAAUUACCAGAACAGAUGGUUUUACCUUCUGCCAAACCUUCAAAGAAAGAUACUCCUUACAUGACACAAAUUGUUCUAGAAGACAGAGGAAAAGGGUAAUCUCUCCAACUCAUUUUAUAAAGCCAGUAUCACCUUUUAGCUUUGAAAUAAAAAACAGGCAAGGAUAGUACCAGAAAGGAAAAUUAUGGGCCAAUUUCAGUUAUAAACAUGGAUGAAAAUGUUCUAAAUAAAAUCAGAGCAAAAACCCCUCAGAACUAACUAAAUGGUUUAUCUUAGAAAUAGAAGGUUGAAUAAAUGCCAGAAAAUCUAUCAAUGUAUAUUCACCACAUAAGUAGACAGAGGGAGAAAAAAAGAAAAUUAUUAUCUUGGUAGAUGCAGAAAAAAAGUUUAUGACAAAUUUCACCAUGCAUUUAUGAUAAAAACUCUCAGAAGACUAGGAAGGAAAUCUUCUUACUUUGAUAAAAGAUAAUAUCAAAAACUGAGAGUAAACAUCAUAUCUAAUGGAGAAACUUUAGACACGUGCUCUUUAAAAUUAGGCAGAAGAUGGCCGGGCACAGUGGCUCACGCCUGGAAUCCCAGCACUUUGGGAGGCUGAGGUGGGCGGAUCACAAGGUCAGGAGUUCGAGACCAGCCUGGCCAAUAUGGUGAAACCCCAUCUCUACUAAAAAUACAAAAAUUAGCCGGGCAUGGUGGUGCAUGCCUGUAGUCCCAGCUAGUUGAGAGGCUGAGGCAUGAGAAUUGCUUAAACCUAGGAGGCAGAGGUUGCAGUGACCCGAGAUCACGCCAGUGCACUCCAGCCUGGGUGACAGAGCGAGACUCUGUCUCAAAAAAACAUAUAAAUAAAUAAAAUAAAAAAUAAAAAAAUUAGGCAGAAGAUAAGCAUACCUGAUUCCAGGCAUUGUUCAGUAUAGUACUAGAUGAUCUGGACCAUGCUCUAAGACAUGAAAAAAAGUAAAGGUAUAAGGAUAGUUGCAUAGAAAAUAAAAAUAUUCAACAGAUAAACUGAUAGACAUGGUAAAAUAAAUCAUAACAUUCACCUGAUUGGUAAAAACUACAGAAAUCAACAGUGCUCCUAUACAUCAGCAAAAAUCAACAGGAAAUAUAACAGAGACACUUUUGUCUCUGGCCAUGAUGGACUAACUGGUAUUGGACCAGCCCUACCACUGUAAACAACUAGAAAACUGGAGAAAACAUAUGAAACAACUGUUGGCAUAUAUUGGACAAGAGGCAGCCCAGGACUAAGAUCUUGAGAGAAGAGAAAUGUAAGAGGCAAGUCCUAUGAUUACCCUGGCUUUCUGCCUACAGAUACUUUCUGGACAGUGGCACAGAAGUGGGGGAAACCAAGCAGACCAUGGUGCUCUCUCUGAGUCAGAGCUCAGGAGAAUUAAGUGGUUGGAAUUUGUGAAAUGGAGCACCAGAGAGAAAGAAGGGAACUCCUCAAGGAAACAACUCCAAAAUCCUGCAUAGACCCUUUGAGUCUUUGGCUGAAAACUAAGCUGUGCACAAGAUGAAACUAACUCUUUGAAACUGGGCAAAGAACAACUACUGAUUAUCUGUCUGCUGAACAAGUCUCAGAGUUCACACAGGGCUAGAGGGGUUCAAGUUCUGAUAAGCUAAAGUAGAAUGACUUCGUUGGAAACUUGGGACGUUCAGUAGAAAGCCCAAAAAGGUCUCUCCUAUAGCUACUCUAGACCUGCUCUAACAAAGUUCAAAACAAGUCUUGAAAGGAUCAAAUUUAUCUGUAAAUUAAAUGUCCACCAGAAGAAGGCCUACCACUGUUUAACAAAAAAUUAAAAAUUCAGACAUUCAACAAUGUAAAACUCACAAUGUCCAUCAUCUAAGGAAGUAUUACUAGACAUGUGACAAAGCAGAAAAAUGGGACCCCUAACCAGGAGUAAAAUUAGUAAAUUGAAAGAGACCAAGAAAUGACAGAGAUAAAAUUAGCAGGCAAGAAAUUUUAAAUGCCUGUCAGAAAUGCUCAAAGAUUUCAAGGAAAACAUGAACACAAUGAAAAGAAAAACAUGAGGUAUAGAUAAGAACCAAAUGCAACUUCUAGAGCUGAAAAUAUAGUGUGUGGAACAAAAAAAAAUUUACUGAAUGGGAUUAAGAACAAGAUUACACACUGCAGAAGAAAAGAUCAGACAACUUGAAAGCAAGGCAAUAGAAACUAUUUAAAAUGAAGCACAGAGAAAAAAAAACUCAGAGCUUUAGUAAUCUGUGAGACAAUAUCAAGCAAUAUAACAUGUGUCUAAUUCAAAUUCCAAGAAAGGGGGCAGAAAAUAUUUAAAUAAAAUGGCCAAAAGUUUCCAGACUCAUAAUAAAAUUAUAAAAUAAAAAUUACAGGCCAGGCGCAGUGGCUCAUUUCUGUAAUCCCAGCACUUUGGGAGGCUGAAGCGGGCGGAUCACGAGGUCAGGAGAUUGAGACCAUCCUGGCUAACACAGUGAAAUCCCAGGUUACUAAAAAUAUGAAAAAUUAGCUGGGCGUGGUGGUGCGCACUUAUAGUCCCAGCUACUCGGGAGGCUGAGGCAGGAGAAUUGCUUGAACCUGGGAGUCAGAGGUUGCAGUGAGCUGAGAUGGUGCCACUGCACUCCAGCCUGGGCGGCAGAGCAAGACUCUGUCUCAUUAAAUAAAUAAAUAAAUAAAUAAAUAAAUAAAUAAAAAUUAUAAACCCUUAGAUCCAAGAACCUCAAUGAAUAUAAUGAACACCAAAAUAAACUAUACCAAAGAAUAUCAUAUCUACACUUUUGAAAACCAAUGAUAAAGAGAAGACCUUAAAAACAGCCAGAGAUGGCCAGGUGCAGUGGCUCAUGCCUGUAAUCCCAGCACUUUGGGAGGCUGUGGUAGGUGGAUUGCUUGAGCUCACGAGUUUGAGACCAGCCUGGGCAACAUGGUGAAUUCCCAUCUCUACAAAAAAUACAAAAAUUAGCCGGGCAUGGUGGCAUGCACCUGUAGUCCCAGCUACAUGGGAGGCUGAGGUGGGAGGAUGGCUUGAGCCCAGGAGAUGAAGAUUGCAGUGAGUCGAAAUCAUGCCACUGCAUUCCAGCCUGGGUGACAGAGCCAGACCCUGUAUCAAAAAAAAAAAAAAAAGACAGAGAGAAAAGGAUGAGAAUUAUUACAGACCUCUUUUCAGAAGUUAAGCAAGACAAAAGACCACAGAAUGACAUCUUUAAAAUUUUAAAAGAUAAAUUUUAAAACUGUCAACCUAGAAUUCUUCAUCCAGAGAAAAUAUCCUUCAAAAAAUGAAGGUGACACAUUACCCACAAAAAUUAACUUAAAAUGAAUCAAUGACUUAAAUAUAAGAGCUAAAGCCUCAAAAUCCUUAGAAAAGAACACAGAGGUAAAUCGCCAAUCUCCAUGAACUUGGAUUUGGCAGUGGA
RNAcentral lists this long non-coding RNA (4042 nucleotides) under Homo sapiens (human). RNAcentral describes it as "non-protein coding lnc-MRGPRD-2:1". The record is from RNAcentral. Lineage: Eukaryota; Metazoa; Chordata; Mammalia; Primates; Hominidae.